CCUAUGAGCUGACACAGUCACCCUCAGCGUCAGUGGCCCCAGGACAGAUGACCAGGAUCACCUGUGGGGAAAGCAGUAUUGGAAGUAAAAGUGCUCAAUGGUACCAGCAGAAGCCAGCCAGGCCCGUGUGUGGGUCAUCUAUGGGGAUAGCGGGCGGCCUUCAGGGAUCUCUGAGAGAUUCUCUGGCUCCAACUUGGGGAACGUGGCCACCCUGACCAUCAACAGGACCCAGGGUGGGGACAAG
This 244-nucleotide long non-coding RNA is filed under the name Homo sapiens (human). RNAcentral's name for it is "non-protein coding lnc-GGTLC2-9:1". Lineage: Eukaryota; Metazoa; Chordata; Mammalia; Primates; Hominidae. The record is from RNAcentral.